Molecule: long non-coding RNA, 271 nt
Organism: Solea solea (common sole)
Lineage: Eukaryota; Metazoa; Chordata; Actinopteri; Pleuronectiformes; Soleidae
Exons: 3
Source: RefSeq, a predicted model, not a curated record
GGUCGUUGUAUGUGCCGCUAGCAUCCGAGCACAGAUCCGGCGUCUUCGCCGCGGUCGAGCCGAUCAGUCGGGGCGGUGUUUAUUGCCGCAACCAGAGCAUUGUGCUGAAGGCCGACGGUGGUGGUGGUUCUCCUGGGUGGUGGCGGUCCUGUGUGCUGUGUGAUCCCUUUUAAGAUUUUCUUUGUUUACACGUCACCUUUUGCUGUGUGUGUGUGUGUGGGGUGUCCUCCUUUUCCUUUUGGAUGUCACUUACCCUACCAAACCCCUCCUC